Molecule: ribosomal RNA, 623 nt
Filed under: uncultured organism
Description: bacterial SSU rRNA
Rfam family: Bacterial small subunit ribosomal RNA
Source: RNAcentral
CUGGGGAGUACGGUCGCAAGACUGAAACUCAAAGAAGGUGACGGGGGCCCGCACAAGCGGUGGAUCAUGCGGUCUAAUUAGAAGCAACGCGAAGAACCUUACCAGGACUCGACAUCACCGCAAGGUACCGUGGCCCUUUGGAACAUUGGGUCUUAGGUAGACAGGUGUUGCAUGGCAGUCGUCAGCUCGUGUCGUGAGAUAUUGGGUUAAGUCCCGCAACGAGCGCAACCCCUAUCCGCUGUUGCCAUCAGGUCUUCGACGCUGGGCACUCUGCGGAAACUGCCGGUGACAAACCGGAGGAAGGUGGGGACGACGUCAAGUCAUCAUGGCCACUUACGUCCUGGGCUACCACGCGUGAUACAAUGGGUACUACAAAGUGACGCAAGACCGCAAGAUGGAGCAAAUCGCAACAAAGUACCCUCAGUUCGGAUUGGGGUCUGCAACUCGACCCCAUGAAGCUGGAAUCGCUAGUAAUCGUGGAUCAGCGCGCCACGGUGAAUCCGUUCCCGGGCAUUGUACACACCGCCCGUCACAUGACCCGAGUUGGCUGCUCCCGAAGUCGGUGAUCUAACCCGUAAGGGGGAAGCUGCCGAAGGAGUGGCUAGCGAGGGGGAUGAAGUCGU